CCUGCUCCCAGAGGCCUUUGCGGGCCUGGCUGCUGUGUCACACGUGCACCAGGAGGUGGCAGAGAGGAGAGACUGUCUGUGUUCUGACCUAUGAACGUUUAAAUGAAAUCAUUUAACAUU
Small nucleolar RNA from Rattus norvegicus (Norway rat), 120 nucleotides. Ensembl annotates it as small nucleolar RNA SNORA17. The record is from Ensembl. NCBI's taxonomy places the organism in Eukaryota, Metazoa, Chordata, Mammalia, Rodentia, Muridae.